CACCCGAUCCCUUCCCGAACUCGGUAGUGAAACGGCUCCGCGCCGAUGGUAGUGUGGGGUCUCCCCAUGUGAGAGUAGGUCAUCGUCAGGC
This 91-nucleotide ribosomal RNA is filed under the name Kushneria marisflavi. Lineage: Bacteria; Pseudomonadati; Pseudomonadota; Gammaproteobacteria; Oceanospirillales; Halomonadaceae. The record is from RNAcentral.